UGGGGAAUAUUGCACAAUGGGCGCAAGCCUGAUGCAGCGACGCCGCGUGGGGGAUGAAGGCCUUCGGGUUGUAAACUCCUUUCGCUAGGGACGAAGCUUUUUGUGACGGUACCUAGAUAAGAAGCACCGGCUAACUACGUGCCAGCAGCCGCGGUAAUACGUAGGGUGCGAGCGUUGUCCGGAAUUACUGGGCGUAAAGGGCUCGUAGGUGGUUUGUCGCGUCGUCUGUGAAAUUCUGGGGCUUAACUCCGGGCGUGCAGGCGAUACGGGCAUAACUUGAGUGCUGUAGGGUAACUGGAAUUCCUGGUGUAGCGGUGAAAUGCGCAGAUAUCAGGAGGAACACCGAUGGCGAAGGCAGGUUACUGGGCAGUUACUGACGCUGAGGAGCGAAAGCAUGGGUAGCGAACAGGAUUAGAUACCCUGGUAGUCCAUGCCGUAAACGGUGGGCGCUAGGCGUGAGGGUCUUUCUACGACUUUCGUGCCGUAGCUAACGCAUUAAGCGCCCCGCCUGGGGAGUACGGCCGCAAGGCU
Molecule: ribosomal RNA, 531 nt
Filed under: uncultured bacterium
Lineage: Bacteria
Description: partial 16S ribosomal RNA
Rfam family: Bacterial small subunit ribosomal RNA
Source: RNAcentral